AAGAUCAUUCAGUGUAAAUACCGACGAUUCCAGUCCCCAGGAAGUAGUUUCCAAAAAGCAACAGACCAUCAUUUACUUCCUUUUUCUCUCCCUAAAACCCAAACAUCUUCCACAAUUGACCUUCAAUCUGGUUCUCUCCUUCUAUACGGCCCAUCAUCCACCGCGUCUCGCUCAGGCAGUCCCCCGAGAAGGUAAGUCCGUGUCCCAUUUCUUAUGGCUUCUCUGGCUAAUUCGUGAGCCAUUAUAUUUGUUGAUCUAGGUAUAUGUUUGAAUGAAAUCUGAUGGAAGAAUCAUUUUUGACGUUGUAUGUUUUUUUAUUAACGCCCCUAUCUUUGAUCUGUCCACGCUAUCUGACUAACUUUUCUUUAUUAUUGAAACUGAAUCCCCUUCAAUAGCAACUAAUGAAAAUCCUUUUCGUUUCCCCAACAAAAUUGCUUGGAGACAUGUAUGUGCCUCUGCUGCGAACGAAGAAGCAACUCCCCUGUGUACCAUUGUUUUAGAGGCAAGAAUCUCUCCAGAAGAAUUUCUCGCUACCACCUUUGAGGCCGAUAAGGCCUGUGCCUCAUCAAAGGCCGCAUCAAAAUUUACUUUAAUGUCGGACCCAUUCGGGGGACACCAUUCAAUAGCUACGGUUUCUUUGGUCAGUUUACUAUUCUCACACUCGUCAAUUUCCUUGGCAUAUCUUGAAACCCAUGUAUCAAUAUCACGGCCCCUACUUCUCUUCCCCUCAAAUAACCCCUUAUUUCUAUCGGUCCAAAUCGUCCACAAGGAGUAGCAGAAUAAGCGACACUGCGACCCAGUAUAGUUUUUGAAUACCCAGGUAAGCCAUUCCCAACAGUUCAUGUUGAUUCAUGUUAAUAUCCAUUCGAGAUUUAAACUUAUCCAGACCUCUAUUGUAACAGGACAGUCACGUACCAGGUGGUCAACAUUCUCAGCAACCCCUCCACAUCUUGGGCAUGCAGUCUCCGUCACCAGUCUUUUAAUGGAUAAAUUAGCUAGAUUAAGGAUGAAAUUCCAGGAAACUUUCCAAAUGAAAAUCUUAAGCUAAAAUAUUGCUGUUCCAUAGGUUUUUUUGUAGAAGCUUUUCAUUUCGGUUUGUAAAUAAGUAGGAUUAGUAUUACCCUUAUGUAAUAGUUUGUAGGCACUUCGCACCGAAAAUUCCCCUUAAGAUUCUCCCCCCCACACCAUCAUAUCCUCGUGUGCUUCCAUGGCCAAGGGGAUUUUCAAAAUUCUAUCUGCAUCGUCCCUUGAGAAG
This 1255-nucleotide long non-coding RNA is filed under the name Gossypium raimondii (Peruvian cotton). RNAcentral describes it as "long non-coding RNA (GRAI_LNC001942)". Lineage: Eukaryota; Viridiplantae; Streptophyta; Magnoliopsida; Malvales; Malvaceae. The record is from RNAcentral.